This 910-nucleotide ribosomal RNA is filed under the name uncultured bacterium. RNAcentral's name for it is "bacterial SSU rRNA". It matches the Rfam family "Bacterial small subunit ribosomal RNA", at positions 33 to 925 of the family's 1533-position model. The record is from RNAcentral.
ACGCUGGCGGCGUGCCUAAUACAUGCAAGUAGAACGCUGAAGAGAGGAGCUUGCUCUUCUUGAAUGAGUUGCGAACGGGUGAGUAACGCGUAGGUAACCUGCCUUGUAGCGGGGGAUAACUAUUGGAAACGAUAGCUAAUACCGCAUAACAAUGGGUGACACAUGUCAUUUAUUUGAAAGGGGCAAUUGCUCCACUACAAGAUGGACCUGCGUUGUAUUAGCUAGUAGGUGAGGUAACGGCUCACCUAGGCGACGAUACAUAGCCGACCAGAGAGGGUGAUCGGCCACACUGGGACUGAGACACGGCCCAGACUCCUACGGGAGGCAGCAGUAGGGAAUCUUCGGCAAUGGGGGCAACCCUGACCGAGCAACGCCGCGUGAGUGAAGAAGGUUUUCGGAUCGUAAAGCUCUGUUGUAAGUCAAGAACGAGUGUGAGAGUGGAAAGUUCACACUGUGACGGUAGCUUACCAGAAAGGGACGGCUAACUACGUGCCAGCAGCCGCGGUAAUACGUAGGUCCCGAGCGUUGUCCGGAUUUAUUGGGCGUAAAGCGAGCGCAGGCGGUUAGAUAAGUCUGAAGUUAAAGGCUGUGGCUUAACCAUAGUACGCUUUGGAAACUGUUUAACUUGAGUGCAAGAGGGGAGAGUGGAAUUCCAUGUGUAGCGGUGAAAUGCGUAGAUAUAUGGAGGAACACCGGUGGCGAAAGCGGCUCUCUGGCUUGUAACUGACGCUGAGGCUCGAAAGCGUGGGGAGCGAACAGGAUUAGAUACCCUGGUAGUCCACGCCGUAAACGAUGAGUGCUAGGUGUUGGAUCCUUUCCGGGAUUCAGUGCCGCAGCUAACGCAUUAAGCACUCCGCCUGGGGAGUACGACCGCAAGGUUGAAACUCAAAGGAAUUGACGGGGGCCCGCA